ACAAACUUGGUCAUUUAGAGGAAGUAAAAGCCGUAACAAGGUCUCCGUUGGUGAACCAGCGGAGGGAUCAUUACAGAGUUGCAAAACUCCCUAAACCAUCGUGGACGCUACCUUCAAACCUUGCUUCGGCGGGCGGCUCGCUCCCCUGGCGCCCCUGUGGCGCCCGCUGGAGGUACCCAACUCUUGACAAUUUUAGGCCUCUCUGUCUUCUGUACUGAAUAAGUCAAAACUUUCAACAACGGAUCUCUUGGUUCUGGCAUCGAUGAAGAACGCAGC
RNAcentral lists this unclassified non-coding RNA (276 nucleotides) under uncultured fungus. RNAcentral describes it as "partial contains small subunit ribosomal RNA, internal transcribed spacer 1, and 5.8S ribosomal RNA". The stretch from base 1 to 73 matches the Rfam family "Eukaryotic small subunit ribosomal RNA", at positions 1759 to 1831 of the family's 1831-position model. Lineage: Eukaryota; Fungi. The record is from RNAcentral.